RNAcentral lists this ribosomal RNA (497 nucleotides) under uncultured bacterium. Its description in RNAcentral is "partial 16S ribosomal RNA". It matches the Rfam family "Bacterial small subunit ribosomal RNA", at positions 28 to 507 of the family's 1533-position model. The record is from RNAcentral.
GAUGAACGCUGGCGGCGUGCCUAAUACAUGCAAGUCGAGCGAACGGACGAGAAGCUUGCUUCUCUGAUGUUAGCGGCGGACGGGUGAGUAACACGUGGAUAACCUACCUAUAAGACUGGGAUAACUUCGGGAAACCGGAGCUAAUACCGGAUAAUAUUUUGAACCGCAUGGUUCAAAAGUGAAAGACGGUCUUGCUGUCACUUAUAGAUGGAUCCGCGCUGCAUUAGCUAGUUGGUAAGGUAACGGCUUACCAAGGCAACGAUGCAUAGCCGACCUGAGAGGGUGAUCGGCCACACUGGAACUGAGACACGGUCCAGACUCCUACGGGAGGCAGCAGUAGGGAAUCUUCCGCAAUGGGCGAAAGCCUGACGGAGCAACGCCGCGUGAGUGAUGAAGGUCUUCGGAUCGUAAAACUCUGUUAUUAGGGAAGAACAUAUGUGUAAGUAACUGUGCUCAUCUUGACGGUACCUAAUCAGAGAGCCACGGCUAACUACGUG